Molecule: transfer RNA, 76 nt
Filed under: Burkholderiales bacterium
Lineage: Bacteria; Pseudomonadati; Pseudomonadota; Betaproteobacteria; Burkholderiales
Also listed under: 1 other name
Description: tRNA-Thr
Rfam family: tRNA
About the family: Transfer RNA (tRNA) molecules are approximately 80 nucleotides in length.
Source: RNAcentral
GCUGUUGUAGCUCAGUUGGUAGAGCAACUGAUUCGUAAUCAGUAGGCCGGAGGUUCGAUCCCCCCCAACAGCACCA